RNAcentral lists this ribosomal RNA (1073 nucleotides) under 'Prunus avium' phytoplasma. RNAcentral's name for it is "bacterial SSU rRNA". It matches the Rfam family "Bacterial small subunit ribosomal RNA", at positions 208 to 1289 of the family's 1533-position model. Lineage: Bacteria; Bacillati; Mycoplasmatota; Mollicutes; Acholeplasmatales; Acholeplasmataceae. The record is from RNAcentral.
AAUAGGUAUGCUUAGGGAGGAGCUUGCGUCACAUUAGUUAGUUGGUGGGGUAAAGGCCUACCAAGACUAUGAUGUGUAGCCGGGCUGAGAGGUUGAACGGCCACAUUGGGACUGAGACACGGCCCAAACUCCUACGGGAGGCAGCAGUAGGGAAUUUUCGGCAAUGGAGGAAACUCUGACCGAGCAACGCCGCGUGAACGAUGAAGUAUUUCGGUACGUAAAGUUCUUUUAUUAGGGAAGAAUAAAUGAUGGAAAAAUCAUUCUGACGGUACCUAAUGAAUAAGCCCCGGCUAACUAUGUGCCAGCAGCCGCGGUAAUACAUAGGGGGCAAGCGUUAUCCGGAAUUAUUGGGCGUAAAGGGUGCGUAGGCGGUUAAAUAAGUUUAUGGUCUAAGUGCAAUGCUCAACAUUGUGAUGCUAUAAAAACUGUUUAGCUAGAGUAAGAUAGAGGCAAGUGGAAUUCCAUGUGUAGUGGUAAAAUGCGUAAAUAUAUGGAGGAACACCAGUAGCGAAGGCGGCUUGCUGGGUCUUUACUGACGCUGAGGCACGAAAGCGUGGGGAGCAAACAGGAUUAGAUACCCUGGUAGUCCACGCCGUAAACGAUGAGUACUAAACGUUGGGUAAAACCAGUGUUGAAGUUAACACAUUAAGUACUCCGCCUGAGUAGUACGUACGCAAGUAUGAAACUUAAAGGAAUUGACGGGACUCCGCACAAGCGGUGGAUCAUGUUGUUUAAUUCGAAGGUACCCGAAAAACCUCACCAGGUCUUGACAUGCUUCUGCAAAGCUGUAGAAACACAGUGGAGGUUAUCAGUUGCACAGGUGGUGCAUGGUUGUCGUCAGCUCGUGUCGUGAGAUGUUGGGUUAAGUCCCGCAACGAGCGCAACCCUUAUUGUUAGUUACCAGCACGUAAUGGUGGGGACUUUAGCAAGACUGCCAGUGAUAAAUUGGAGGAAGGUGGGGACGACGUCAAAUCAUCAUGCCCCUUAUGACCUGGGCUACAAACGUGAUACAAUGGCUGUUACAAAGGGUAGCUGAAGCGCAAGUUUUUGGCGAAUCUCAAAAAAACAGUCUC